UGGGGAAUAUUGGACAAUGGGCGCAAGCCUGAUCCAGCAAUGCCGCGUGAGUGAUGAAGGCCUUAGGGUUGUAAAGCUCUUUUACCAGGGAUGAUAAUGACAGUACCUGGAGAAUAAGCUCCGGCUAACUCCGUGCCAGCAGCCGCGGUAAUACGGAGGGGGCUAGCGUUGUUCGGAAUUACUGGGCGUAAAGCGCACGUAGGCGGAUUGAUCAGUCAGGGGUGAAAUCCCGGGGCUCAACCCCGGAACUGCCUUUGAUACUGUCAAUCUAGAGAUCGAGAGAGGUGAGUGGAAUUCCGAGUGUAGAGGUGAAAUUCGUAGAUAUUCGGAGGAACACCAGUGGCGAAGGCGGCUCACUGGCUCGAUACUGACGCCGAGGUGCGAAAGCGUGGGGAGCAAACAGGAUUAGAUACCCCCGUAGUCC
This 424-nucleotide ribosomal RNA is filed under the name uncultured prokaryote. Its description in RNAcentral is "bacterial SSU rRNA". It matches the Rfam family "Bacterial small subunit ribosomal RNA", at positions 355 to 796 of the family's 1533-position model. The record is from RNAcentral.